RNAcentral lists this transfer RNA (75 nucleotides) under Actinomycetota bacterium. RNAcentral's name for it is "tRNA-Val". It matches the Rfam family "tRNA". From Rfam's summary of the family: Transfer RNA (tRNA) molecules are approximately 80 nucleotides in length. Lineage: Bacteria; Bacillati; Actinomycetota. RNAcentral also lists the same sequence under 1 other name. The record is from RNAcentral.
GGGCGCUUAGCUCAGCGGGAGAGCGCCGCCCUUACAAGGCGGAGGUCGGUGGUUCGAAACCACCAGCGCCCACCA